UUGUGGUGUAUUUUUUUCAUCUUUGUAGAUCCGAGGUUCAGAUUCAGAAUUGUAUCGAUCACGACCACGUAUCGUGGUAGUAGUCUAUCCUGUAAUGACAGUUUUUGUUUUAUUUUAACAUUCAAUUCAAAAUUCUGUUCAUCUGUUCGACUCGUAAUCGUAGCUUAUGUGUUAUUUUCAGAUGGCAUAUUCGAUUUGAUUCGUGAUUAAGUAAUAGGCACCUACUACAAAUUCUAUUUGAUAAUUUCGAUAUAAUUAAAUCCUAGCAGAAAUAUUCAACGUGUGGUUUAUUUACCUGGCUGCGAAUACGUUUGAUUUAUAGCUGCUGCUGGUAUCAAUACAAUACCUAACAAUGAGUGACUUAGCGAUUGGAAUCGACUUGGGUACAACGUACUCCUGCGUGGGUGUUUUCCGGCAUGGCAAAGUGGAAAUUAUUGCGAACGAUCAAGGUAACAGAACUACGCCGAGUUAUGUCGCUUUUACAAAUAUCGAAAUUUUGGUCGGAGAGCCAGCCAAAAAACAGGCCACUAGGAACCUACGUAAUACGGUUUUCGAUGUCAAAAGAUUGAUGGGUCGUAAAUUUGAAGACGAUAAGGUUCAGAGCGAUAUGAAGCAGUGGCCUUUCCAGCUCAUUGAUGAUAACAACAAUCCGAAAAUCGAAGUUGAAUUCAAAGGCAUUUCUAAAACGUACUUCCCCGAAGAGAUAUCUUCGAUGGUGUUGGGAAAAAUGAAAGAUACUGCUGAAGCAUAUCUUGGUAAAACGGUAAAGAAUGCUGUAAUUACUGUGCCCGCUUAUUUCAACGAUUCCCAAAGAGCCGCUACAGUAGAUGCUGCUAAAAUUGCCGGAUUAAACGUACUUCGUAUCAUUAAUGAACCUACGGCUGCCGCAAUAGCUUACGGUCUAGAAGAAAAAAAUUCUGAAGCGCAAAACGUAUUGAUUUUCGAUCUUGGUGGCGGAACUUUUGAUGUCUCCAUUUUAACAAUUCAGAACGGUGUUUUCGAAGUGAAAUCAACUGCCGGUGACACUCACUUAGGUGGCGAAGAUUUCGACAGCAAAAUGGUCGACUAUUUCGUUGAAAAAAUCAAACGUAAAUACAAUAAUGAUCUCUCGAAGAACAAGAGAGCCCUGCACCGUCUGAGAGCUGCUUGCGAAGGAGCGAAGAGAACUUUAUCAUCAGCCACAGCAGCCGAUAUUGAUGUUGAGUCUCUUUUCGAUAGUAUCGAUUUCUACAGCCCAAUCUCUCGUGCUCGUUUUGAAAAACUGAACUCGGACUUCUUCAAAAAGGCAAUGGAACUGGUUGAAAAAACCAUCCGAGACGCAGCUAUUGAAAAAACACAAAUUCAUCACGUCGUUUUAGUGGGAGGCUCGUCGCGCAUCCCGAAAAUCCAGAAAAUGUUGCAAGAUUUAUUCGACGGAAAGGAACUGAGCAAAUUGAUUAAUCCCGACGAGGCUGUAGCACAUGGAGCCGCUGUUCAGGCUGCGAUACUAAACGGUGUCAAAUCGAAGGAAAUAGGAGACGUAGUGUUGAUGGAUGUUACACCAUUGUCGUUAGGUAUCGAUGUUAAAAGUCAAAGUGGAGGUGAUAACAGAAUGGCCGUGGUUAUCAAACGUAACACUCCAAUUCCAGUCAGACAAACUGAAGUUUUUUCUCCCUGUAAUGAUAUUGAUAGUUACACCAACAUACGGUUUAAAGUAUUGGAAGGCGAGUAUGUUUUUGCUAGGGAUAAUCAUUUGCUUGGUAUGUUUGAUCUGAAUGAACUCCCUGCGAAAUCACGCGAUGAUGUUAAUUUGGAUGUAACCUUCGAAAUCGAUGCUAACGGCAUAUUGAACGUAACUGCUGUCGAAAGAUCCAGCGGUAGAAGAAACCAACUGACCAUCACGUACGAUAAAGGUCGUCUCAGUCAAGAUGAAAUUGAGCGUAUGAUCGAGGACGCUGAAAAAUUACGAUACGAAGGACAAAGCCGAAAAGCUGCAUUAGUCGCCAAGUCAGCUUUAGAAUCGUACUGUGCUAACGUGAAGAGCACAAUACAAGAUGAAAAAUUGAAAAGUAAAAUUAAUCUAUCUGAUAAAGACGUGAUUUUGAAAAAAUGCAAAGAAACCAUUGCCUGGUUGAAGACUGACGUACUAGCUGGAAAAGAGCAGUACGAACGUAAGCAAAAAGAAAUACAGAAAAUAUUCGAUGUAAUUAUCUCGAUAGCUCGCUGUCCUAGUAAAGAAAACGACGAAUAUUAUGAGUUGCUAAAAGUGACGAAAAAUGCCACCGAAGAUGACAUCAAGAAUGCACACAGGGAAAUAGCUUACAAGUAUCAUCCCGACCUAUACCAGGGAGACGAGGAAAUAGGAAAUUUGUAUUGGCUGACUUUCAUGAAAGCGAAAACUUCUCUUAUCCAACUAGUUAAAGCACUCACAAUACGAGGUAAAAACACCACCGCAUGAAUGUAUUCGAUAAAUUCAAUGUAGAGAUACCUCAACAUUUUUGUGAUUUUUACUUCAUCUUCUUCAUUUUGAGCUUUUAAGUGUUAUCCAAUUAUUUUAACUAUGGCGCAGAUUUGAAUUUUAUUGCUGACGUGUUUAAAGGCGAUUAAAUCAACGGCGUCUGUAUUAUUAAGUAUAAGUAUUAGUUGACACAUUUUUUUUCGUUAGGUGUGUCCACUGAUUAUUUUUAUUUUGUGUUAUUUUUAUUUGUACGUUGUUUCAUGUUUCUAAGAUAUACGUACUAGAUAGAUACGCGCAUAAUUAUGAUGGUUAUUCUGAAUGAAAAAUUACUUUUUUAAAAUAGAAGUUGAAUUUUGUUUUUAAAAGCGACGAUCGUAUUUCUUUUCUAAAAAUGAAGUUCAACGACCUUUAAAAA
Planococcus citri (citrus mealybug) is the source of this 2852-nucleotide RNA transcript. It is a transcript of the gene named heat shock 70 kDa protein II-like, with no coding region annotated. The record is from RefSeq and is a predicted model, not a curated record. NCBI's taxonomy places the organism in Eukaryota, Metazoa, Arthropoda, Insecta, Hemiptera, Pseudococcidae. The transcript is spliced from 8 exons.